Molecule: ribosomal RNA, 274 nt
Filed under: uncultured bacterium
Lineage: Bacteria
Description: partial 16S ribosomal RNA
Rfam family: Bacterial small subunit ribosomal RNA
Source: RNAcentral
AUACGGAGGGGGUUAGCGUUGUUCGGAAUUACUGGGCGUAAAGCGCACGUAGGCGGAUUGGAAAGGAGGGGGUGAAAUCCCAGGGCUCAACCCUGGAACUGCCUCCUAAACUAUCAGUCUAGAUUUCGAGAGAGGUGAGUGGAAUUCCAAGUGUAGAGGUGAAAUUCGUAGAUAUUUGGAGGAACACCAGUGGCGAAGGCGGCUCACUGGCUCGAUACUGACGCUGAGGUGCGAAAGCAUGGGGAGCAAACAGGAUUAGAAACCCUAGUAGUCC